GGUUUGUUGUUGGUCGUAGAACAGCAGACGACGAAGUUCAAAGCGGCAUUGUACCAUCGGGCAGAAUCCAAACGGUUGAUGCAUUGAAAAUGUCGGAGCUCUGUUGAUGAAUUUUCACCAGCACUCUUCCACAAGACGCGCGCGAAGCAAACGAUAGCAAAGGAGAUAUGGACUUGAAUUGGUUGUUUACCACCCGUGGCUUUCCCGCAUCCCAGGAUUAGUCUUGUACACCUUUUGCACUUGUACAGAGCGUUCGGGAACGAAAUUAGUUGUGGAUGGGUUUGCUGUUGACAAGCAAGGGAAGGAUUUUUACCAAACUAGAUAGGAAUGAAAUUUGUUGUGGCUGGUUUGGUUGUUGACAAGCAAGGGAAGGAUUUUUUUUACCAAAGUAGACAGGAUAUUUAUUCUUAAUCCCACAAUGUCUUGACUACAAAUCAUGCUGAAUUGGAAUAGUAUGUUAAUCGAGGCUGGGUGCCAAAGCAAUGGAUGAUAAUUGAUUGGACUCUAAACACUGCUGAGAUGGCCACUGAUGUGCAGUUCUUGUACUGCGUUCCCGGAUUGCCUUUGAAUUAUUGCCGAUGACAUCUCAAUUCUGUAGUUGGUAGAUAUCUGUUGAACAUAGUUGAAACUCAUAUUUACCAGAGUUUUGUUU
This 652-nucleotide long non-coding RNA is filed under the name Daphnia magna. RNAcentral's name for it is "uncharacterized LOC123473902, transcript variant X1". The record is from RNAcentral. Lineage: Eukaryota; Metazoa; Arthropoda; Branchiopoda; Diplostraca; Daphniidae.